AACGAACGCUGGCGGCAUGCCUAACACAUGCAAGUCGAACGAAACCUUCGGGUCUAGUGGCGCACGUGUGCGUAACGCGUGGGAACCUGCCCUUAGGUUCGGAAUAACUCCCCGAAAGGGGUGCUAAUACCGGAUAAUGUCUUCGGACCAAAGAUUUAUCGCCUUUGGAUGGGCCCGCGUUGGAUUAGCUAGUUGGUAGGGUAAAAGCCUACCAAGGCGACGGUCCAUAGCUGGGCUGAGAGGAUGAUCAGCCACGCUGGGACUGAGACACGGCCCAGACUCCUACGGGAGGCAGCAGUGGGGAAUAUUGGACAAUGGGCGAAAGCCUGAUCCAGCAAUGCCGCGUGAGUGAUGAAGGCCUUAGGGUUGUAAAGCUCUUUUACCCGGGAUGAUAAUGACAGUACCGGGAGAAUAAGCGCCGGCUAACUCCGUG
Molecule: ribosomal RNA, 433 nt
Filed under: uncultured bacterium
Lineage: Bacteria
Description: partial 16S ribosomal RNA
Rfam family: Bacterial small subunit ribosomal RNA
Source: RNAcentral